RNAcentral lists this ribosomal RNA (438 nucleotides) under uncultured bacterium. Its description in RNAcentral is "bacterial SSU rRNA". It matches the Rfam family "Bacterial small subunit ribosomal RNA", at positions 29 to 449 of the family's 1533-position model. The record is from RNAcentral.
AUGAACGCUGGCGGCGUGCUUAACACAUGCAAGUCGAGCGAAGCACUUACCAUUGACUCUUCGGAAGAUUUGGUAAAUGGCUGAGCGGCGGACGGGUGAGUAACGCGUGGGCAACCUGCCUCAUACAGGGGAAUAACAGUUAGAAAUGGCUGCUAAUGCCGCAUAAGCGCACAGUACCGCAUGGUACGGUGUGAAAAACCGAGGUGGUAUGAGAUGGACCCGCGUCUGAUUAGGUAGUUGGUGGGGUAAUGGCCUACCAAGCCGACGAUCAGUAGCCGGCCUGAGAGGGUGAACGGCCACAUUGGGACUGAGACACGGCCCAGACUCCUACGGGAGGCAGCAGUGGGGAAUAUUGCACAAUGGGGGAAACCCUGAUGCAGCGACGCCGCGUGAAGGAAGAAGUAUCUCGGUAUGUAAACUUCUAUCAGCAGGGAAGAA